RNAcentral lists this unclassified non-coding RNA (345 nucleotides) under soil metagenome. RNAcentral describes it as "partial contains 5.8S ribosomal RNA, internal transcribed spacer 2, and large subunit ribosomal RNA". The stretch from base 1 to 120 matches the Rfam family "5.8S ribosomal RNA", at positions 35 to 154 of the family's 154-position model. The record is from RNAcentral.
GAUGAAGAACGCAGUGAAAUGCGAUACGUAAUGUGAAUUGCAGAAUUCAGUGAAUCAUCGAGUCUUUGAACGCACAUUGCGCCCUCUGGUAUUCCGGAGGGCAUGCCUGUCCGAGCGUCAUUGCUGCCCUCAAGCACGGCUUGUGUGUUGGGCUCCGUCCCCCGAUCCCGGGGGACGGGCCCGAAAGGCAGCGGCGGCACCGCGUCCGGUCCUCGAGCGUAUGGGGCUUUGUCACCCGCUCUGUAGGCCCGGCCGGCGCUUGCCGAUCAACCAAAUUUUUAUCCAGGUUGACCUCGGAUCAGGUAGGGAUACCCGCUGAACUUAAGCAUAUCAAUAAGCGGAGGA